GUUAGGAAUAUUGGACAAUGGGCGAAAGCCUGAUCCAGCCAUGCCGCGUGAACGAUGAAGGCCUUCGGGUUGUAAAGUUCUUUAGCCGAUGAUUAUAAUGACUGUAGUCGGAAAAUAAGCCCCGGCUAACUUCGUGCCAGCAGCCGCGGUAAUACGAAGGGGGCGAGCGUUAUUCGGAAUCACUGGGCGUAAAGCGUGCGUAGGCGGUCUCGUAAGUUAGGAGUGAAAGCCCAGGGCUCAACCUUGGAAUUGCUCUUAAAGCUGCAAGGCUAGAAUCUCGGAGAAGAUAGCGGAAUUUCCAGUGUAGCAGUGAAAUGCGUAGAUAUUGGAAGGAACACCAGUGGCGUAAGCGGCUAUCUGGACGAGUAUUGACGCUGAGGCACGAAAGCGUGGGGAUCAAACAGGAUUAGAUACCCCAGUAGUCC
Molecule: ribosomal RNA, 425 nt
Filed under: uncultured bacterium
Lineage: Bacteria
Description: partial 16S ribosomal RNA
Rfam family: Bacterial small subunit ribosomal RNA
Source: RNAcentral